Molecule: ribosomal RNA, 442 nt
Filed under: uncultured bacterium
Lineage: Bacteria
Description: bacterial SSU rRNA
Rfam family: Bacterial small subunit ribosomal RNA
Source: RNAcentral
UGAAGCUUCGGCAGAGAUCAUGAGUAAACUUAGUGGCGGACGGGUGAGUAACGCGUGGGCAACCUGGCCCCGUACCGGGGGAUAGCAGUUGGAAACGACUGAUAAUACCGCAUAAGCGCACGGUGUGGCAUCACACAGUGUGAAAACUCCGGUGGUACGGGAUGGGCCCGCGUCUGAUUAGCCAGUUGGCAGGGUAACGGCCUACCAAAGCGACGAUCAGUAGCCGGCCUGAGAGGGCGGACGGCCACAUUGGGACUGAGACACGGCCCAAACUCCUACGGGAGGCAGCAGUGGGGAAUAUUGCACAAUGGGGGAAACCCUGAUGCAGCGACGCCGCGUGAGUGAAGAAGUAUUUCGGUAUGUAAAGCUCUAUCAGCAGGGAAGAAAGGCUCGCAAGAGAGAUGACGGUACCUGACUAAGAAGCUCCGGCUAAAUACGUGCC